GGGCUGUUAGCUCAGUUGGCUAGAGCGUCUCAUUGACGUUGAGAAGGUCAGUGGUUCGAGUCCACUACAGCCCACCA
RNAcentral lists this transfer RNA (77 nucleotides) under Candidatus Peregrinibacteria bacterium CG11_big_fil_rev_8_21_14_0_20_46_8. RNAcentral's name for it is "tRNA-Val". It matches the Rfam family "tRNA". Rfam says of the family: Transfer RNA (tRNA) molecules are approximately 80 nucleotides in length. Their secondary structure includes four short double-helical elements and three loops (D, anti-codon, and T loops). The record is from RNAcentral. Lineage: Bacteria; Candidatus Peregrinibacteriota.